This 768-nucleotide ribosomal RNA is filed under the name Triticum aestivum (bread wheat). RNAcentral describes it as "partial small subunit ribosomal RNA". Lineage: Eukaryota; Viridiplantae; Streptophyta; Magnoliopsida; Poales; Poaceae. The record is from RNAcentral.
AUGGCCGCCACCGGAGCAGCGCUGCGGCUUCGCCUCCUGUUCCGGAUGCUGAGGGUCGGGGAGCUCAUCGCCCUCGCGGCGCUCCUGUCGUGGUCCUCCUCCCGCGCGCCGUCCGUGGCCGCCGCCGCGAUGCGCGUCGCCGGCUCGCUCCUCUUCAGCCCGCGAUUCGUGUUCGUCCUCGGCAACGCCAUCGUGCUCCUCCUCCUCGCGCUCUCCAGGCGCGAGCGCGUGGAGCCGUCCUCCGCCACCUCCUCUGUCGGCGGCGGUGUGGAGCAGAGCCAGGCCCCCGCGGCCAGCUUCGCUUCGUUCGCCGCCCCGACUCCGCCGCCGCCGACGCCGAUGCCGACGCAGGCAAGUGAAGCGCCCGCGGUGGUGGUGUCAACCAUGGCGAUGGCGAUGGCGACGGUGCCGGAGGAGGAGGAGGAGGUGGUGAAGCCGGUGGUGUCGGUGACGACGCGCGCCGUGAGCAAGGCCCGCGCGCCGAGGCGGACGCGGUCGGAGAAGAUGGGCCGGCGCGGCGAGCUUUCGAGGCGGUCGGCGUCGCCGGAGCCGCUGCCGCUGAUGCGGCGGUCGGAGUCGGACAACGGGCGCAGGCGGCGGUCGUCGGUGACGGCGCGGGACGUGGCGGAGGUGGGCGUGGCGCGCGGGUGGGCCGGCUCGGACGACGCGGAGGAGUUCCGGCGCACCGUGGAGGCGUUCAUCGCGAAGCAGACCCGGUUCCGGCGGGAGGAGGAGUCCAUGGCCGGCACGCUCGUCCUGGUCGAAUAA